This is a long non-coding RNA of Aethalodelphis obliquidens (Pacific white-sided dolphin), 1859 nucleotides long. RefSeq lists it as uncharacterized. The record is from RefSeq and is a predicted model, not a curated record. The transcript has 4 exons. NCBI's taxonomy places the organism in Eukaryota, Metazoa, Chordata, Mammalia, Artiodactyla, Delphinidae.
CCGGCUCACCCUUGGCCAAUUGGCGACGGCUGUGGGCGGUACCGCCCUGCUGGCGACCCGCCCCCAACUCCGAAACACGGCUUGCCAUUGGGAGAAGGCGCGUGACGCGAAGGCUGCAGGCCACGUGGCGGUGUUUUCACUGCCAGGGCGGCCGGGCAGAGCGGGAGGAGGGAAGGGCCAGGCAGCUGGGCCCGGCCUGCGGGCUCCGGUCCGGCGUCUGCGUCGCGGCCGCGGCAAAGCAGACCGGCGGGCGCGCUCGUUCCGACCCCACCCAGCCCCGUGUCCUGGGUAACACUCCGUCUACUAAACUUACAGUUUAGUAGAGAGCGUUGGACGCCAAAGCCCCACCCUCUCGUAGAGUCUUCAAGCUGCUUAGAAGACUGUUUCUAACAGGAGGAUGCUGAGGCCAGAUAGGGAUCUGCUACCACACUUGGCGGUUUAAGUCAGCCUCUAUCUACAGUUGACCGUGGUCUGACCUCACUCUCUGGAAUGCUCUGCCUGCCUCUGAUUUUCACGGCAUGUCAACAUGCACUCCGAUGGCAUUCCUGACGAUGGCAUUCCUGACGGGGGAUCUCUUUCUCCCGAGCUCUUGAAAGAAUCCUGCUUCAGCGACUCCCAGGGAAUGGUGGGAGAGGUGUUUUUUAAAAAGAGAUUUGUCACACACCAAGGACAGCAGUCAUUUACUUUGCACCCUUUUAUGCAUGGACUAUUUGCAUGAAGACAGCUGGAUUAUCAUAGCUGCUUCUGCAUUCAGCGUGUGGUGACAUCACAUAUCGUGUAGCCUUCAGCAAACCCCACUGUGCACUUAUGAGAGAACAAGAGUGAAAACGGAAACACUCUUGAAGCUCCGCGAUCAAGUCCGACGUAUUUAGUGAUUCAGUGAACAGCUGACUGAUCAGCAUGAGAGAAAAGAUCCUCUCAGGAACCAGCCAACUUUGCAAUCGAUUUCGCCUUCGUCAGGCUGACGUUGGGACUGGGCAGAGAAGACCCCGUGAGGUUUUGAAAUGUCUUCGUGAGUAUGGAGUCUUGGGACCGUCAGUGGCUUUCCAGGGGACUGUGCUGUGAAGGUCACUGGGCCGACGUCUGCUAUGAUGUCAGGAGAUGCACGCUCUUGAUUUUAAGAUGAUGCUUCUCUGUUUUCCUCUAUCUCUUCCUCUUCCUCUCUCCUCCCUUCCUUCCCCCCUUUCUCCUCUUCCUUCUCCUCUUUUUCUUUCUUCUUCUUUUAAAUAAGAGUUCCCCCUCCCUCUUCAUUUCUAAGGAUAAAUUAUGCUCACCGUGGAAAGCAACAACACGGUAUGGCUAUUGCUCCAGGAUACAGCUUGAGUUAGAAAUCUGGUCCCAUUGUUGACGAGCUGUCAGCUUGCAGAAGUCACUCAUCUGCUCCACCCCAGUUAUCCGGGUGUUAAUGGUGUACUCAGGCUAGUUACAGCCCAGAGCUGAUGUCAUAUGGAUUUCACCAGAUGUUCAUGUUCACACAUAUGUGCCAGGCACACAGCGAGAGCUCCAAAUAUUGUGCUAUUAAUUAAAAAUCCAAAAAACACAGACAACUAAAGCUACCUGUAAUUCGAUGGCUGGGAAAUACAUUUUACCUGCAGGUACACUUUUACCGUCUAAGGUUUUCAGAUGAAGGUCAGCCAAAUGAGUUAAUGAAUAUUUAUUUAGCCAGACACUCUGCUAUGUAGUUACAGCUUAGUCAACGUUCUCUGACUUUCUCCUGAGCUAAUCAUCUUUCUAGUAGUCACUCAUUCAUCACACUCUUUCAAAGGUAUUUUUAGCACUUUUUGUGUACCAGAUGCUACUCUAAGUAUUGGAGACACAACAGGGAUCAAAGCAAAAACUUGGCUCUGGUGAAACUUACA